RNAcentral lists this ribosomal RNA (493 nucleotides) under uncultured bacterium. RNAcentral describes it as "partial 16S ribosomal RNA". It matches the Rfam family "Bacterial small subunit ribosomal RNA", at positions 29 to 523 of the family's 1533-position model. The record is from RNAcentral.
AUUGAACGCUGGCGGCAUGCUUUACACAUGCAAGUCGAACGGUAACAGGUUAAGCUGACGAGUGGCGAACGGGUGAGUAAUGCAUCGGAACGUGCCCGAUCGUGGGGGAUAACACUUCGAAAGAAGUGCUAAUACCGCAUACGAUCUGAGGAUGAAAGCGGGGGACCGUAAGGCCUCGCGCGAUCGGAGCGGCCGAUGUCAGAUUAGGUAGUUGGUGGGGUAAAGGCUCACCAAGCCGACGAUCUGUAGCUGGUCUGAGAGGACGACCAGCCACACGGGGACUGAGACACGGCCCAGACUCCGACGGGAGGCAGCAGUGGGGAAUUUUGGACAAUGGGCGCAAGCCUGAUCCAGCAAUGCCGCGGGCAGGAAGAAGGCCUUCGGGUUGUAAACUGCUUUUGGACGGAGCGAAAAGGCUCCCUCUAAUACAGGGGGCUCAUGACGGUACCGUAAGAAUAAGCACCGGCUAACUACGUGCCAGCCGCCGCGGUAA